AUUGAACGCUGGCGGCAUGCCUUACACAUGCAAGUCGAACGGCAGCGCGGGGCAACCUGGCGGCGAGUGGCGAACGGGUGAGUAAUAUAUCGGAACGUACCCUGGAGUGGGGGAUAACGUAGCGAAGUUACGCUAAUACCGCAUACGAUCUAAGGAUGAAAGCAGGGGACCGCAAGGCCUUGUGCUCCUGGAGCGGCCGAUAUCUGAUUAGCUAGUUGGUGGGGAAAGGCCUACCAAGGCAUCGAUCAGUAGCUGGUCUGAGAGGACGACCAGCCACACUGGAACUGAGACACGGUCCAGACUCCUACGGGAGGCAGCAGUGGGGAAUUUUGGUACAAUAGGGCGAAAGCCUGAUCCAGCAAUGCCGCGUGAGUGAAGAAGGCCU
RNAcentral lists this ribosomal RNA (385 nucleotides) under uncultured bacterium. Its description in RNAcentral is "bacterial SSU rRNA". It matches the Rfam family "Bacterial small subunit ribosomal RNA", at positions 30 to 417 of the family's 1533-position model. The record is from RNAcentral.